CCUACGGGAGGCAGCAGUGGGGAAUAUUGCACAAUGGGCGCAAGCCUGAUGCAGCGACGCCGCGUGAGGGAUGACGGCCUUCGGGUUGUAAACCUCUUUCAGCAGGGACGAAGCGCAAGUGACGGUACCUGCAGAAGAAGCACCGGCCAACUACGUGCCAGCAGCCGCGGUAAUACGUAGGGUGCAAGCGUUGUCCGGAAUUACUGGGCGUAAAGAGCUCGUAGGCGGUUUGUCGCGUCGUCUGUGAAAACCCAGCAGCUCAACUGUUGGCUUGCAGGCGAUACGGGCAGACUUGAGUAUUUCAGGGGAGACUGGAAUUCCUGGUGUAGCGGUGAAAUGCGCAGAUAUCAGGAGGAACACCGGUGGCGAAGGCGGGUCUCUGGGAAAUAACUGACGCUGAGGAGCGAAAGCGUGGGUAGCGAACAGGAUUAGAUACCCUGGUAGUCCACGCCGUAAACGGUGGGCGCUAGGUGUGGGUUUCCUUCCACGGGAUCCGUGCCGUAGCUAACGCAUUAAGCGCCCCGCCUGGGGAGUACGGCCGCAAGGCUAAAACGUCAAAGGAUUGACGGCUGNGAGNGCGACGCGACGACGAGGGAGAGG
This 600-nucleotide ribosomal RNA is filed under the name uncultured bacterium. Its description in RNAcentral is "bacterial SSU rRNA". It matches the Rfam family "Bacterial small subunit ribosomal RNA", at positions 338 to 946 of the family's 1533-position model. The record is from RNAcentral.